This 74-nucleotide transfer RNA is filed under the name Cordylochernes scorpioides. Its description in RNAcentral is "tRNA-Thr". Lineage: Eukaryota; Metazoa; Arthropoda; Arachnida; Pseudoscorpiones; Chernetidae. The record is from RNAcentral.
UGCCAAGGGAUGGGAAUCAAACCCACGACCUUCCGCUUACCGGGCAGAUGCCAUGACCACUAGGCUACCCUGGA